AUGAGAAUGUGCUUGGAUAGGCAACACUGAAGCAGUAGCAGGGGCAGGAGCUGGAGCCUCAGCUUCUAUGGAGGUUGAAGGAGAUGAUGCUGGUGACUGAAACUCACUUGGUGGGUUUCCUGUUUUGGAGCCUGUCAACCCUACUCUUGUGGGCUCUGAAGUUUAAAGCACUCUGCUGCAUCAAAUGCGGACGCAUCAGCAAUCAAAAUGUGGGUUCUUUGCAAUGACAAAAAGAUGAAAAUGGAUACAGUAAGGACGAGCAUCAUGUGGCGAAUCUGAGAAGAAUAAGAGCCCAUGUUCUUCAACCACAAAUCAUCAGAGCAUCAAUAUCUAACUUUCCGCAUAGAAAUAGAGUCUCAUUUCUGCUGCAUUCUUUUUCAGAAAAGAAAAUAAUAAUAAGACAACAUUUAUUAUUGGACGGUGCAGGUACUGUGCAAGGAACAACAUGUAUUUCAAUGUUUAAUGUACUCCAAGGAAUCACUGAGCAUGGCAGUUGGAGUUGUACUGGGCCUUCUUUAAUCUUUUACUUCUCUGUUCAUGCACAGCUUGAAAUUUUUUUAUUUAUUUUUUUUAUGGUUGGAAUUGUAAUCUAAUCCCAAAAUUUAUAUGUUGUGAUCCGAAUUUAAGAUUAGAGUUUUGAGAGUUCUGAUAGAUAUAUCACAUUUAUU
Manihot esculenta (cassava) is the source of this 668-nucleotide long non-coding RNA. RefSeq lists it as uncharacterized. The record is from RefSeq and is a predicted model, not a curated record. Lineage: Eukaryota; Viridiplantae; Streptophyta; Magnoliopsida; Malpighiales; Euphorbiaceae. The transcript has 2 exons.